This 253-nucleotide ribosomal RNA is filed under the name uncultured bacterium. RNAcentral's name for it is "partial 16S ribosomal RNA". It matches the Rfam family "Bacterial small subunit ribosomal RNA", at positions 524 to 776 of the family's 1533-position model. The record is from RNAcentral.
GACAGAGGGGGCAAGCGUUGCUCGGAAUCACUGGGCGUAAAGGGCGCGUAGGCGGGAUGGCAAGUCAGUCGUGAAAUCUCUCGGCUCAACCGAGAAACGUCGGCUGAUACUGCCGUUCUUGAGGGAUGCAGAGGAGACUGGAAUUCCCGGUGUAGCGGUGAAAUGUGUAGAGAUCGGGAGGAACACCGGUGGCGAAGGCGGGUCGCGGGGCAUUUCCUGACGCUGAGGCGCGAAAGCGUGGGGAGCAAACGGG